Non-coding RNA from Cyanistes caeruleus (blue tit), 685 nucleotides. Lineage: Eukaryota; Metazoa; Chordata; Aves; Passeriformes; Paridae. The record is from RefSeq and is a predicted model, not a curated record.
CGGCGCCGGGAGGGGAGGGGAGGGCGGCACGCCGGGCGCUUCUCCCACACGGAGAUUGUUCCUGCGGCACUGGCAGGCGCGGUGCAACUUCACCGGAGUUAAUUUGGGUCUGCGAUGAAAACUCCUCCACCUGUGCCAAGCGCUGCUCGGCAUCCAGCACUAAAGUCAGCCUACGCGCGGUGCUUCAGCUGCCUGUUUAUGCCUCGGGAGCUGACUGGUGACUCCUGUUAAAUUAAGGACUAGUGACAGAAGCCUCAGACAGAUGACCAAUCCAUUGAAGCAGUGGUUAGAGGUCCUCCCACUGCAAGGCAAGCUACAGCCUUGAGCUUACCAUGAAUACCCAUGGACUUUAUCACGUGCCAGAUCCCUUUAAUGAAACCAGCACCCUGGCCCUGAGAUGAUGUUUAAGGGUUCUCAAGGUCCAGUUCUAAUGCAGACAAGCUGUGUCCACCUUAAACAGAGCCUCGUUAUUGUUCACGCUACUUGAAUCUGCCAUUAAUAUUUUGGAAGGUGUGUGGAUGUAACGCCAGCCAAAAUGAAGGAACUGAAAGAUGUGAGGCCAUGACUGUGCCACCAGACAUCCUGCCUCAACCCAUGCAAGCAGAGAAAUAAAGGCACGUCUGCUCCUGUUUCCUACAUAUACCUACUUAGAGAACACAGACCCAUUAAAGCUGAGCCAGACAGA